UCAGUCAUAUCUAAGAGAACUGUAGUGCUGU
RNAcentral lists this non-coding RNA (31 nucleotides) under Rattus norvegicus (Norway rat). Lineage: Eukaryota; Metazoa; Chordata; Mammalia; Rodentia; Muridae. The record is from RNAcentral.